GGAAAGGUGCACAGAUAUCUGGCCUUAGGACCUCCCUCCUGUCCGAAGAGGAAGGCCCAAAACAAGACCUGUCCUGAAGCUGAGUUGCUUUGGCCUGUCCCAGAAGUUGUUAGCUUCUGUAUUCUACACUCUCACCUGUGCAGAAUACUCUCGGAGGAGUCCUGGAACCAAGAUGCCUGCAGCCGAUGCUCAGGCCAAGCGCUCCCAGCCUGGGCUGACCCCUAUCCUCUGACAGGUCAACAGGUGGUUUUUGCAGACUCUACCAAGUUAAAGACUCAAGAUGGCUAAGACCUGGUGAAGGAGACAUGUCCAGAAGAGGAGCAAGAUUCAAACGGGGAAGAAGAAAACAAGUCAGUAAAGAGCAUUAACAGCAAAAGCAUCAGGAGCGCAGAGUUCCUCUAGCUCAGUGGUUCUCACCCUUCCUAACGCCGUGACCGUUCCUGUGACAGUUCCUCACAUUGUGGUGACCCCCACCAUAAAGUUUUUCUAUUGCUUCUUCAUCAUUAUAUGUUUGCUACUGUUAUGAAUAAAAUGCAAAUAUCUAUGUUU
RNAcentral lists this long non-coding RNA (549 nucleotides) under Mus musculus (house mouse). RNAcentral's name for it is "predicted gene, 47456". Lineage: Eukaryota; Metazoa; Chordata; Mammalia; Rodentia; Muridae. The record is from RNAcentral.